UACGUAGGAUGCAAGCGUUGUUCGGAAUUAUUGGGUGUAAAGGGCGCGUAGGCGGUCUGAUAAGUCAUGGGUGAAAGCCCUCGGCUCAACCGAGGAAUUGCCCAUGAUACUGUCGGACUAGAGUACGGGAGAGGGAAGUGGAAUUCCUGGUGUAGCGGUGAAAUGCGUAGAUAUCAGGAGGAACACCGGUGGCGAAGGCGGCUUCCUGGACCGAUACUGACGCUGAGGCGCGAAAGCGUGGGUAGCAAAC
RNAcentral lists this ribosomal RNA (250 nucleotides) under uncultured Pseudomonadota bacterium. RNAcentral describes it as "uncultured proteobacterium partial 16S ribosomal RNA". It matches the Rfam family "Bacterial small subunit ribosomal RNA", at positions 524 to 773 of the family's 1533-position model. The record is from RNAcentral. Lineage: Bacteria; Pseudomonadati; Pseudomonadota.